CCCAGCUUAACGACAGCAGCCCAUGGAACUUCUCGGUCUCCAUAAUUGUUCCCAAAUUUGGAUGAUGUUUUGGCUGUCAUCCAAACAUUAUAUGAAUGCAGUUAUUGGACCCAGAGUCACAUUCAGCUGUCUCAUCUUACGCCAAUCAAUCAUAAUCUCGAUAGUUGUCAUGAAGUCCACACACGAGCAACAGACAACUACAGAGAUGAAUGCCUGCAUGGAAAAUCGUAAGGAGUAGCUGAUGCCAGAAAUUGGCCUCUGUCACUUCCAGCAAAUGGAUGGAGAGAGAACUCAAGGUCUCGGAGAAAGAAAGAUGA
Molecule: long non-coding RNA, 317 nt
Filed under: Homo sapiens (human)
Lineage: Eukaryota; Metazoa; Chordata; Mammalia; Primates; Hominidae
Description: HSALNT0083662
Source: RNAcentral